Molecule: ribosomal RNA, 251 nt
Filed under: uncultured prokaryote
Description: partial 16S rRNA
Rfam family: Bacterial small subunit ribosomal RNA
Source: RNAcentral
ACGAAGGGAGCUAGCGUUGUUCGGAAUUACUGGGCGUAAAGGGCGCGUAGGCGGUCCGGUCAGUCAGAUGUGAAAGCCCUGGGCUUAACCCGGGAAUUGCGUUUGAUACUACCGGUCUUGAAUUCGGAAGAGGUGAGUGGAAUUCCCAGUGUAGAGGUGAAAUUCGUAGAGAUUGGGAAGAACACCCGUGGCGAAAGCGGCUCACUGGACCGACAUUGACGCUGAGGCGCGAAAGCGUGGGGAGCAAACAG